GGAAGAUCGGCGGUGGACGGACUCCUCGCCAACCCGGUCAGGUCCGGAAGGAAGCAGCCGUAACGAGUUUUUGGUUCGGGUCGCUGUCCGGUCUUCCACU
This 100-nucleotide signal recognition particle RNA is filed under the name Alphaproteobacteria bacterium. Its description in RNAcentral is "signal recognition particle sRNA small type". It matches the Rfam family "Bacterial small signal recognition particle RNA". Rfam says of the family: The signal recognition particle (SRP) is a universally conserved ribonucleoprotein involved in the co-translational targeting of proteins to membranes. Archaeal SRP consists of a 7S RNA and homologues of the eukaryotic SRP19 and SRP54 proteins. The record is from RNAcentral. Lineage: Bacteria; Pseudomonadati; Pseudomonadota; Alphaproteobacteria.